This 405-nucleotide unclassified non-coding RNA is filed under the name soil metagenome. RNAcentral describes it as "partial contains 5.8S ribosomal RNA, internal transcribed spacer 2, and large subunit ribosomal RNA". The stretch from base 1 to 121 matches the Rfam family "5.8S ribosomal RNA", at positions 35 to 154 of the family's 154-position model. The record is from RNAcentral.
GAUGAAGAACGCAGCGAAAUGCGAUAAGUAAUGUGAAUUGCAGAAUUCAGUGAAUCAUCGAAUCUUUGAACGCACCUUGCGCCCUUUGGCCAUUCCGAAGGGCAUGCCUGUUUGAGUAUCAUGAACACCUCAACUCUUCAUGGUUUUCCAUGAUGAGCUUGGACUUUGGGGGUCUUGCUGGCCUGUGGGUCGGCUCCUCUCAAAUGAAUCAGCUUGCCGGUUUUUGGUCGGCAUCACAGGUGUGAUAACUAUCUACGCUUGUGGUUUUCCACCAGGGUAACCUUCAGCAGUGGAGGUUCACUGGAGCUUACAAAUGUCUCUCCUCUGUGAGGACAGCCCUUUGAAUGUUUGAUCUCAAAUCAGGUAGGACUACCCGCUGAACUUAAGCAUAUCAAUAAGCGGAGG